GCCCUGGUGGCUCAAUGGUGAAGAGUGUGGCUGCUAGCCAAAAAGUUGUAGGUUUGAACCUACCCGCCGCU
Molecule: transfer RNA, 71 nt
Filed under: Loxodonta africana (African savanna elephant)
Lineage: Eukaryota; Metazoa; Chordata; Mammalia; Proboscidea; Elephantidae
Rfam family: tRNA
About the family: Transfer RNA (tRNA) molecules are approximately 80 nucleotides in length. Their secondary structure includes four short double-helical elements and three loops (D, anti-codon, and T loops).
Source: Rfam by way of RNAcentral